This is a long non-coding RNA of Pogoniulus pusillus (Red-fronted tinkerbird), 1048 nucleotides long. RefSeq lists it as uncharacterized. Lineage: Eukaryota; Metazoa; Chordata; Aves; Piciformes; Lybiidae. The transcript is spliced from 2 exons. The record is from RefSeq and is a predicted model, not a curated record.
GCAUCACCAUCCUGUUUCCUGGCACUCUUUGGUUUACCAUGUGGUUUGAGGGGUUCCAGGUUACCCCAGAUUCCCUAAAAAAGCUAUGGAGACCAAGACCCUCAAACCAUGACAUAAGGAGGAGAGACUGCUGUUCUAACCACACACAAUAGGAUCUGAGACCAGAGCCUCCUUGCCCCCAAAUAUUCACAGCUUUUGACUGAAGAAAUGGUUGCCCCCUUGUGAGGAGUGGUCUGAAGAACAUUAUCUGUCUCAUCAUUGUCAUCAAGAUUCAGGACCCCUGUGCCCCAAACGCUUGGCCUGAUAUUUUGGCUAACAUCUUAUCAUGAGUUUUGCAGUGGCCUACUCCAUAAUAAGUUGCUGAUUAAGUUUCUGAGCCUGUACAAUGGAUUUUGCAGGUGCAGCUCCCAUGGGAAGAGCUCUGCCUGGCACCAGCUUUCCAUACCUGCCAAGUAUGAUGGAUGAUUCCACUGGCCAUGGUCACUGCUUUCAAACAUAACUGCUGCCAAGAGGGGCUGAUGCCAAGGUGUUGCUAAGGGAACCAUGAAGCUUAGUGAACUCUGCUCAUUCUAAUGUCACUGUAAUACACAAACACAGCUCCUGGUCUAGAGCUACUCUCCUCCUUAGGACAAUAUGCCUUGGACAUGCCUCCUUGGGACCAGACCACCACUCAGUCACUCCUCCUUUGACAUGCAUAGAAGCCUUAGUCGUGGGGGGCACAAGGGGUGGAGAAAGGCAGAGUUUGGACAUGGGCAGGUAUGAAAUGGAUUACAAAAGAUAUCUCCCUAGCAGCAGGCUUUGAAGGAGAACUUUCCCCACCGAAUCAAGAAAAGAUCAGAGGUACCAGCAGGUCUGGAUCCAAGCCCAAAGAAACAUCUUUGGACUCUUGCACUGGUGGCACCUAUAAACCUCUUUCUCUUUCCUCUCUUCACUUUACCUUUCCCUUUUCUCCACCUAUUGUGCACCAUCUUAUGGGCAAACCGUCAAGUUUUACUGUCGAUCGAAGUGAACCCCCUGGUAUGGGGGGUGGUUGCACUUUCAGAUCACA